This is a long non-coding RNA of Colias croceus (clouded yellow), 541 nucleotides long. RefSeq lists it as uncharacterized. NCBI's taxonomy places the organism in Eukaryota, Metazoa, Arthropoda, Insecta, Lepidoptera, Pieridae. The transcript is spliced from 3 exons. The record is from RefSeq and is a predicted model, not a curated record.
AUUCAAGAAUGUUCUGCCAUAUUUUUCAUUCUGUCAAACACAACGACAGUGCAGAGAUAAUUAUUCCAAGCCCUGACACCGAUAUUUUUGUAUUAGGCCUUUAUUUCUGGCAUUUUUUAUGUAAUUUAUUUAAUUAAAAAUUGAAAACAAUUAUUUCGGCCAUAUAUGUAUAACUUUAGUAGGCAGUGAUAGGUAUGUAUCAAUCAUCGGUUCAAGACUGGCAUCUUUGCUAGGUUACCGAGAAGAAACGAAAAUGGCCAAGAACAAGACGACGACAUAAUCUUCGAAGACUUCGCGCGCCUCAGGCUGAAGGGCGCGGACGCUGAUGCUUGAACAUUAUGCUAACAGCGCUCUCUUACUGAACUACAUUCUAUAUUUUGUUAUACCAAACGCACAAUUGUAUCGUACUUUUUGAAUUUUCAUAAACAACAUUGUUCGUUUUGAAAUCCAUCGAAUGACCAUAGACACAAGAAAUAAGUGUUACCAUCCUUAGCGAAAAGUGUUAUAAUCUGUAUUAAAAUAAAAAUGAUGUAUAAAAUCA